UCGUCUCCAUCUCGCUCCAACACAUACGAAUAAGAGACCCCUAAAGAAACAUGCAAGGAAACAUAAGACGUCACCUUUAAAAGAGGCAUAUUCACCAUGACCAGAGCUGAUGUUUGCAUAGGAAGCAGUAUGUAAAGAGACGACCAAACCUGAUGCAGCAUGUUGCUCUGCACCUGCUCAGACAAAAGAAGCCUCCAGGAGAGGAGACCACAACUUCACACAAACUGGGGACAACAACUGGAACUGAAGUAAAUCUUGGAUGUACCACUCUUACAGUGAAACAAGGUGGUGGCACCAUCAUGCUAUGAGGUUUUUUUUUUUUUCCAGUGGGGACAAGGAAGCUGGUCAGAGCUUUUUGGAAGACGGAUGGAGCAAAAUACAAAGGAAUUGUGGAAUAAAACAUGUUAGAGGACGCAAAAGGGUUGAGGGUCACCUCAAAGCAGGACAGCAACUCCAAACACACAGCUACAAAGGAAUGGUCCGAUCGAUAUUUGAGUAUUAGAAUGGCCUACUUAAAGCCCUGAUUUGUAUGAAAGUGAUAAUCGGCGGCCAGAUAUAAAGCAGAUAAGACAAGGAAUGAAGAAAAGGCAGAUGGAAGUGAUGUAAAACAAAAAUUGGAAGAUGGAAGGAGAAGGCGGUAGGACCAAAGGAGGGUAGAAAGGACAAUAGUUAAAAAAAAAAAAGAAAGGAAGAAAAG
Molecule: long non-coding RNA, 697 nt
Organism: Poecilia latipinna (sailfin molly)
Lineage: Eukaryota; Metazoa; Chordata; Actinopteri; Cyprinodontiformes; Poeciliidae
Exons: 3
Source: RefSeq, a predicted model, not a curated record